AUAAUUUGUAGUGAUUCAUUAUCUGCAUUAUUAAGUAUAGAAAAGGGAUGUACAAAGAUUUUUCGUUUUUUUUUUAUUCUGGGAUCAUAAGGAUUUGAAGGAUAUAUAUUAGGAUCCAAUAGAUGGCAGUAAUGCAACAACUAUGGAUGCAAGCUGUCGUUAAAUCCUAAAGAAGAAGAAAAAGAAGAAGAAGAAGAAGAAGAAGAAGAAGAAGAAGAAGAAGAAGAAGAAGAAGAAGAAGACGACGACUUUACUGUGUUUGGAUUUUACUGGUAUGCCGGACAACGUCUCGCGUUCAACUCCUCUAGGACGCGAUCCACAACUUUCAGCCAGUCCGCAGACUGACGAGAAGAAACUGCUGAUUGCUAUCAGUGGACUGUCUCGUCAGCUUACUCAACAUACUGCCGACAUGAAUGAGAGGUUCACUCAACUGCAGAAUUCGGUAAACUCCAGGUUGCUGUCCAUAGAGGACAAGAUGGCGGCUCUGCAGUCGAAGAACUGUGCGGGAGAGACUAACUCCAAGAAGAGAAGACGGAUGCACAAAAGCUUGCGUACGCCGUCUUCACAACUCGGAGACAAAUUGCAGGCGCUAUGAACCGGCGCAAGGACUAAGCACGCCUCAUAAUGAGGCAGUUACCUCCUAUCUGCUCGGAGCAAUAACUGCAAGCCUCGAUUUACACUAUAUUGAUAAAGACUACAUUGUGUGUAAGGGACUUGUUUUACU
Long non-coding RNA from Fundulus heteroclitus (mummichog), 724 nucleotides. RefSeq lists it as uncharacterized. NCBI's taxonomy places the organism in Eukaryota, Metazoa, Chordata, Actinopteri, Cyprinodontiformes, Fundulidae. The transcript has 3 exons. The record is from RefSeq and is a predicted model, not a curated record.